CCCCUCUCAGGGUCGCACCUGGAGAGUUUCUAGUCCUCUACCAGUCUCGGCUAGGGGAGGGAGAGUCAAGAAGAGGCCUACUCAUUCCAUUCCUAGCUUGGCCAGUGGCUGGUGAGUGGCAGGCACUGUGCCACAAGU
Tachyglossus aculeatus (Australian echidna) is the source of this 138-nucleotide small nucleolar RNA. The record is from RefSeq and is a predicted model, not a curated record. NCBI's taxonomy places the organism in Eukaryota, Metazoa, Chordata, Mammalia, Monotremata, Tachyglossidae.